RNAcentral lists this non-coding RNA (773 nucleotides) under Lamproptera meges. The record is from RNAcentral. Lineage: Eukaryota; Metazoa; Arthropoda; Insecta; Lepidoptera; Papilionidae.
UAAAAAUUUUAUGAUUUAAAAAAUUUUAUUUAAAUUUAUUUUACAUAUAAAUUUUAGUAUUAAUUUUAUAUUAUUUUAAUAAUAUUUAUUUAAUUUGUAGUAAUUAAAAUUAAAAAUUUAAGAAAUUAAGAUUUAGUAAUAUUUAUAAAUUAUAAACAAAUUUUGUGCCAGCAGUUGCGGUUAUACAAAAUAUAAUUAAAAUUUUAUUAGUUAAUAAUUAAUAUUAUUAUUUAAUAUUAAAUUAAAAAUUAUUAAGUGAAAUUUUAAUUUUUUUUUAAAAUUAAUUAAUUAUAUGAUUUAUGAAAUUUUAUAAAAAACUAGGAUUAGAUACCCUAUUAUUAAAAUUUAAAUAAUUAUGCUAAAAGAGUAUUUAAUAAUUUAAAGAAACUUAAAUAAGUUGGCGGUAUUUUAGUUAAUUUAGAGGAAUCUGUCCAAUAAUUGAUAAUCCACGAAUAAAUUUACUUAAUUAUUUUAUUUUGUAUAUCAUUGUUAAAAAAAUAUUUUUAAAUAAAAAUAAUAUUUUAAAAUUAAGAUAAAAAAUUAAUUCAAAUCAAGAUGCAGAUUAUAAUUAAGAAUGAGAUGGAUUACAAUAAUAUAAAAUUAAAUGAAUAAUAUUUUUUAAAUAAUAUUUGAAAGUGGAUUUAAAUGUAAUUUUAUUUAAUUUAAUAAAAUGAUUAUAAAUUAAAAUAUGUACAUAUUGCCCGUCGCUUUCAUUAAUAAAUUGAAAUAAGUCGUAACAAAGUAGAAGUACUGGAAAGUGUUUCUAGAAAGAU